CUACGUGCCAGCAGCCGCGGUAAUACGUAGGGUGCGAGCGUUAAUCGGAAUUACUGGGCGUAAAGCGAGCGCAGACGGUUACUUAAGCAGGAUGUGAAAUCCCCGGGCUCAACCUGGGAACUGCGUUCUGAACUGGGUAGCUAGAGUAUGUCAGAGGGGGGUAGAAUUCCACGUGUAGCAGUGAAAUGCGUAGAGAUGUGGAGGAAUACCGAUGGCGAAGGCAGCCCCCUGGGAUAAUACUGACGCUCAGGUGCGAAAGCGUGGGGAGCAAACAGGAUUAGAUACCCUGGUAGUCCACGCUGUAAACGAUGUCGACUUGGAGGUUGUGCCCUUGAGGCGUGGCUUCCGGAGCUAACGCGUUAAGUCGACCGCCUGGGGAGUACGGCCGCAAGGUUAAAACUCAAAUGAAUUGACGGGGGCCCGCACAAGCGGUGGAGCAUGUGGUUUAAUUCGAUGCAACGCGAAGAACCUUACCUACUCUUGACAUCCAGAGAAUUCGCUAGAGAUAG
Molecule: ribosomal RNA, 509 nt
Filed under: uncultured bacterium
Lineage: Bacteria
Description: bacterial SSU rRNA
Rfam family: Bacterial small subunit ribosomal RNA
Source: RNAcentral